GAUGAACGCUAGCGGCAGGCUUAAUACAUGCAAGUCAAGGGGUAGCAAGAUUGUAGCAAUACAAUUGUUGACGACCGGCAAACGGGUGCGGAACACGUACACAACCUUCCUACAAGUGGGGAAUAGCCCAGAGAAAUUUGGAUUAAUACCCCGUAACAUAGCGAUGUGGCAUCACAUUGCUAUUAUAGCUUCGGCGCUUGUUGAUGGGUGUGCGGCUGAUUAGAUAGUUGGCGGGGUAACGGCCCACCAAGUCUACGAUCAGUAGCUGAUGUGAGAGCAUGAUCAGCCACACGGGCACUGAGACACGGGCCCGACUCCUACGGGAGGCAGCAGUAAGGAAUAUUGGACAAUGGACGCAAGUCUGAUCCAGCCAUGCCGCGUGAAGGAUUAAGGUCCUCUGGAUUGUAAACUUCUUUUAUAAGGGACGAAAAAAGGUCUUUCUAGAUCGUCUGACGGUACCUUAUGAAUAAGCACCGGCUAACUCCGUGCCAGCCGCCGCAGAA
This 503-nucleotide ribosomal RNA is filed under the name uncultured bacterium. Its description in RNAcentral is "partial 16S ribosomal RNA". It matches the Rfam family "Bacterial small subunit ribosomal RNA", at positions 28 to 522 of the family's 1533-position model. The record is from RNAcentral.